RNAcentral lists this ribosomal RNA (253 nucleotides) under uncultured bacterium. Its description in RNAcentral is "partial 16S ribosomal RNA". It matches the Rfam family "Bacterial small subunit ribosomal RNA", at positions 524 to 776 of the family's 1533-position model. The record is from RNAcentral.
GACGAACCGAGCGAACGUUGUUCGGAAUCACUGGGCUUAAAGGGCGCGUAGGCGGGCUGUCAAGUCUGGGGUGAAAUCCCACGGCUCAACCGUGGAACUGCCUUAGAUACUGACGGCCUCGAGGGAGAUAGGGGCGAGCGGAACUGUGAGUGGAGCGGUGAAAUGCGUUGAUAUUCACAGGAACUCCGGUGGCGAAGGCGGCUCGGCUGGAUCUUUCUGACGCUGAGGCGCGAAAGCUAGGGGAGCAAACGGG